RNAcentral lists this ribosomal RNA (619 nucleotides) under uncultured cyanobacterium. Its description in RNAcentral is "bacterial SSU rRNA". It matches the Rfam family "Bacterial small subunit ribosomal RNA", at positions 8 to 674 of the family's 1533-position model. Lineage: Bacteria; Bacillati; Cyanobacteriota. The record is from RNAcentral.
AGAGUUUGAUCAUGGCUCAGGAUGAACGCUGGCGGCGUGCUUAACACAUGCAAGUCGAACGAACCUUCGGGUUAGUGGCGGACGGGUGAGUAACGCGUGGGAAUCUGCCCUCAGGAGGGGGAUAACGGCUGGAAACGGCCGCUAAUACCCCAUAUGCCGAGAGGUGAAAUGAAUUUCGCCUGAGGAUGAGCCCGCGUCUGAUUAGCUAGUUGGUGAGGUAAGAGCUCACCAAGGCAUCGAUCAGUAGCUGGUCUGAGAGGAUGAUCAGCCACACUGGGACUGAGACACGGCCCAGACUCCUACGGGAGGCAGCAGUGGGGAAUUUUCCGCAAUGGGCGAAAGCCUGACGGAGCAACGCCGCGUGAGGGAUGAAGGCCUCUGGGCUGUAAACCUCUUUUCUCAAGGAAGAAGAUCUGACGGUACUUGAGGAAUAAGCCACGGCUAAUUCCGUGCCAGCAGCCGCGGUAAUACGGGAGUGGCAAGCGUUAUCCGGAAUUAUUGGGCGUAAAGCGUCCGCAGGCGGCCCUUCAAGUCUGCUGUUAAAAAGUGGAGCUUAACUCCAUCAUGGCAGUGGAAACUGUUGGGCUUGAGUGUGGUAGGGGCAGAGGGAAUUCCCGGU